RNAcentral lists this unclassified non-coding RNA (253 nucleotides) under uncultured Alphaproteobacteria bacterium. RNAcentral's name for it is "contains 16S-23S intergenic spacer region". It matches the Rfam family "Bacterial small subunit ribosomal RNA", at positions 524 to 776 of the family's 1533-position model. The record is from RNAcentral. Lineage: Bacteria; Pseudomonadati; Pseudomonadota; Alphaproteobacteria.
UACGGAGGGGGCUAGCGUUGUUCGGAAUUACUGGGCGUAAAGCGCGCGUAGGCGGCUUGUUUAGUCGGGGGUGAAAGCCGGGGGCUCAACCCCGGAAUUGCCUCGGAUACUGGCAAGCUGGAGUACGGGAGAGGAGAGUGGAAUUCCCAGUGUAGAGCUGAAAUUCGUAGAUAUUGGGAAGAACACCGGUGGCGAAGGCGGCUCUCUGGACCGUGACUGACGCUGAGGCGCGAAAGCGUGGGGAGCAAACAGG